Molecule: non-coding RNA, 72 nt
Organism: Cricetulus griseus (Chinese hamster)
Lineage: Eukaryota; Metazoa; Chordata; Mammalia; Rodentia; Cricetidae
Source: Rfam
GUCUCUGGUACAAUCGGUUAGCGCGUUCGGCUGUUAACUGAAAGGUUGAUGGUUCGAGCUCACCCAGGGACA